GUGCUUGCUUCGGCAGCACAUAUACUAAAAUUGGAAUGAUACAGAGAAGAUUAACUGGCCCCACAGCUAGAGGAUUAACGAAAUUGCAGUUGCUCCAUAUCUUU
Small nuclear RNA from Puma concolor (puma), 104 nucleotides. The record is from RefSeq and is a predicted model, not a curated record. NCBI's taxonomy places the organism in Eukaryota, Metazoa, Chordata, Mammalia, Carnivora, Felidae.